GAUGAACGCUGGCGGCGUGCCUAACACAUGCAAGUCGAACGAAGCAUUUAGGACAGAUUACUUCGGUUUGAAGUUCCUUAUGACUGAGUGGCGGACGGGUGAGUAACGCGUGGGUAACCUGCCUCGUACUGGGGGAUAGCAGCUGGAAACGGCUGGUAAUACCGCAUAAGCGCACAAUGUUGCAUGACAUGGUGUGAAAAACUCCGGUGGUAUAAGAUGGACCCGCGUCUGAUUAGCUAGUGGGUGAGAUAACAGCCCACCAAGGCGACGAGCAGUAGCCGACCUCAGAGAGUGACCCGCCACAUUGAGGCUGGGACGCGGCCCGGACUCCUACGGGAGGCAGCAGUGGGGGAUAUUGCACAAUGGCGGGAACUCUGAUGCAGCUCCGCCGCGUGAGUGAAGAAAUAAUUCAUUAUGUAAUGCUCAAUCAGCAGGGAAGAUAGUGACGGUACCUAACUAAGAAGCUCCGGCUAACUACGUG
This 481-nucleotide ribosomal RNA is filed under the name uncultured bacterium. RNAcentral's name for it is "partial 16S ribosomal RNA". It matches the Rfam family "Bacterial small subunit ribosomal RNA", at positions 28 to 507 of the family's 1533-position model. The record is from RNAcentral.